This 459-nucleotide ribosomal RNA is filed under the name uncultured bacterium. RNAcentral's name for it is "partial 16S ribosomal RNA". It matches the Rfam family "Bacterial small subunit ribosomal RNA", at positions 338 to 795 of the family's 1533-position model. The record is from RNAcentral.
CCUACGGGAGGCUGCAGUGAGGAAUAUUGGUCAAUGGGCGCGAGCCUGAACCAGCCAAGUCGCGUGAGGGAAGACGGUCCUAUGGAUUGUAAACCUCUUUUGUCGGGGAGCAAAAGACGCCACGCGUGGCGUUCCGAGAGUACCUGAAGAAAAAGCAUCGGCUAACUCCGUGCCAGCAGCCGCGGUAAUACGGAGGAUGCGAGCGUUAUCCGGAUUUAUUGGGUUUAAAGGGUGCGUAGGCGGAAUGUUAAGUCAGCGGUAAAAGCGAGAGGCUCAACCUCUUCGAGCCGUUGAAACUGGUUGUCGUGAGUGAGUGAGAGGUAUGCGGAAUGCGGGGUGUAGCGGUGAAAUGCAUAGAUAUCACGCAGAACUCCGAUUGCGAAGGCAGCAUACCGGCGGUCAACUGACGCUCAUGCACGAAAGUGUGGGUAUCGAACAGGAUUAGAUACCCUAGUAGUC